This 76-nucleotide transfer RNA is filed under the name Bacillota bacterium. RNAcentral describes it as "tRNA-Met". It matches the Rfam family "tRNA". From Rfam's summary of the family: Transfer RNA (tRNA) molecules are approximately 80 nucleotides in length. Their secondary structure includes four short double-helical elements and three loops (D, anti-codon, and T loops). Lineage: Bacteria; Bacillati; Bacillota. RNAcentral also lists the same sequence under 1 other name. The record is from RNAcentral.
GGCGGCGUAGCUCAGUUGGUAGAGCAUACGGUUCAUACCCGUAGUGUCACUGGUUCGAGUCCAGUCGCCGCUACCA